UCGGGUUUCUGCUUCGGGAUGGGCCUGCGCACCAUCACGCUUGUUGGUAGGGUAACGGCCUACCAAGGCUUUGACGGUUAGCCGGCUUGAGAGAAUGAACGGCCACACUGGAACUGAGACACGGUCCAGACUCCUACGGGAGGCAGCAGUAGGGAAUCUUCCGCAAUGGGCGAAAGCCUGACGGAGCAAUGCCGCGUGAGGGAUGAAGGCCUUCGGGUUGUAAACCUCUGUUGAGAGGGAAGAAGGGCAUGUGAGUAACUUCUCGUGCCUUGACGGUACCUUUCGAGGAAGCCACGGCUAAUUACGUGCCAGCAGCCGCGGUAAUACGUAAGUGGCAAGCGUUGUCCGGAUUUACUGGGCGUAAAGCGCGCGUAGGCGGCUUGGUAAGUAGAGGGUGCAAGCUCCGGGCUCAACCCGGAAAUUGCCCUCUAAACUGCCUCGCUUGAGUGUCCGAGGGGAAACUGGAAUUCACGGUGUAGCGGUGAAAUGCGUAGAUAUCGUGGAGAACACCCGUGGCGAAAGCGGGUUUCUGGCGGAACACUGACGCUGAGGCGCGAAGGCUAGGGGAGCGAACGGGAUUAGAUACCCCGGUAGUCCUAGCUGUAAACGAUGGGUACUAGGUGUGGGGAUUUUAUCUCCGUGCCGACGCUAACGCAUUAAGUACCCCGCCUGGGGACUACGACCGCAAGAUUAAAACUCAAAGGAAUUGACGGGGGCCCGCACAAGCGGUGGAGCAUGUGGUUUAAUUCGAUGCAACGCGAGUAACCUUACCUGGACUUGACAUCCCGGGACCGCCAUAGAAAUAUGGUUUUCCCCGUCAGGGGACUCGGUGACAGGUGGUGCAUGGCUGUCGUCAGCUCGUGUCGUGAGAUGUUGGGUUAAGUCCCGCAACGAGCGCAACCCUUGCCGUUAGUUGCCAGCAUUUAGUUGGGGACUCUAACGGGACUGUCGGUAACAAGCCGAAGGAAGGUGGGGAUGACGUCAAGUCAGCAUGCCCCUUAUGUUCAGGGCAACACACGUGCUACAAUGGCCGGUACAGAGGGCUGCGACACUGCGAAGUGGAGCCAAUCCCCAAAGCCGGUCUCAGUUCAGACCGCAGACUGCAACUCGUCUGCGCGAAGGAGGAAUCGCUAGUAAUCGUGAAUCAGCAUGUCACGGUGAAUACGUUCCCGGGCCUUGUACACACCGCCCGUCACACCACCCGAGUUAGGUGCACCCGAAGUCGCUUGACCUGACCCUUUUGGGAGGGGGGCGCCGAAGGUGUGUUUGGUAAGGGGGGUGAAGUCGUAACAAGGUA
RNAcentral lists this ribosomal RNA (1297 nucleotides) under metagenome. RNAcentral describes it as "bacterial SSU rRNA". It matches the Rfam family "Bacterial small subunit ribosomal RNA", at positions 202 to 1498 of the family's 1533-position model. The record is from RNAcentral.